UUGUUCCAAUCCGGGAGCUAGUGAGGUUGGGGAAGGCAAAUCCACCCAGCCGUCAGCCUGGAAAAUCCGCUAAGGUUAGGGCAGAAGAAUCCGUACCACAAACCGACACAGGUGGACAAGAUGAGUAUUCUCAGGCGCUCGGGUGAUGGUCUGCGAAGGAACUAGGCAAAUUAGCUCCGUAACUUCGGGAGAAGGAGUGCCCACCUCAGACGUGGGUCGCAGUGAAUAGCGUCAGGCGACUGUUUAACAAAAACACAGGUCUCUGCUAAGUCAAAAAAACGACGUAUAGGGGCUGACGCCUGCCCGGUGCCGGAAGGUUAAAAGGAGGGGUUAGUCGCAAGGCGAAGCUCUGAAUUGAAGCCCCGGUGAACGGCGGCCGUAACAAUAACGGUCCUAAGGUAGCAAAAUUCCUUGUCGGGUAAGUUCCGACCUGCACGAAUGGCGUAACGAUCUGACGACUGUCGGCGCAGGCCGCCCGGCGAACUUGUGGUUCCGGUGAAGACGCCGGAUGCCCGCCACUAGACGAAAAGACCCCGUGCACCUUUACUAUACUUUAACAAUGAAUUAUGGGGUGGACUGCGUAGGAUAGGUGGGAGGCUUUGAACCCGGAUUCUUGGAUUCGGGGGAGCCAAUGGUGAAAUACCACCCUGUUUAUUCUGUGAUUCUAACCUACCGACCUGAUCGGCCGGAGGGACAUUGUUAGACGGGUAGUUUGACUGGGGCGGUCGCCUCCAAAAUUGUAACGGAGGCGUGCGAAGCUUGGUUCAGGAGGUUUGGAAAUCCUCCUUCGAGUGCAAUAGCAUAAACCAGGUUGACUGUGAGACCUACAAGUCAAGCAGCUGCGAAAGCAGGCUAUAGUGAUCCGGUGAUUCUGUAUGGAAGGGUCAUCGCUCAACGGAUAAAAGGUACGCCGGGGAUAACAGGCUGAUCGGAGUCAAGAGUUCAUAUCGACGCUCCGGUUUGGCACCUGGAUGUCGGUUCAUCGCAUCCCGGGGGUGUAGAAGCUCCCAAGGGUUAGGCUGUUCGCCUAUUAAAGCGGUACUGAACUGGGUUCAGAACGUCGCGAGACAGUUCGGUCUCUAUCUGUGGUGGGCGUAGGAAAUUUGAAAGGAUCUGCCUUUAGUACGAGGGGACCGAGGUGGACGAACCUCUUGUGAUCCAGUUGUCCCGCCAGGGGCACCGCUGGGUAGCGAAGUUCGGUUAGGAUAAGCGCUGAAUGCAUAUAAGCGCGAAACCUUCCUUAAGAUGAGAUUUCCCAAGCGCAAGCUAUGAAGGGCCGUGGAAGACGACCACGUUGAUAGGCUGGGUGUGUAAGCGUAGUAAUACGUUAAGCUGACCAGUACUAAUCGCCCGUUCGGCUUGACC
RNAcentral lists this ribosomal RNA (1365 nucleotides) under metagenome. RNAcentral describes it as "bacterial LSU rRNA". It matches the Rfam family "Bacterial large subunit ribosomal RNA", at positions 1547 to 2925 of the family's 2925-position model. The record is from RNAcentral.